Molecule: ribosomal RNA, 468 nt
Filed under: uncultured bacterium
Lineage: Bacteria
Description: partial 16S ribosomal RNA
Rfam family: Bacterial small subunit ribosomal RNA
Source: RNAcentral
GACGAACGCUGGCGGCGUGCUUAACACAUGCAAGUCGAACGGAAAGGCCCUGCUUUUGUGGGGUGCUCGAGUGGCGAACGGGUGAGUAACACGUGAGUAACCUGCCCUUGACUUUGGGAUAACUUCAGGAAACUGGGGCUAAUACCGGAUAGGAGCUCCUGCUGCAUGGUGGGGGUUGGAAAGUUUCGGCGGUUGGGGAUGGACUCGCGGCUUAUCAGCUUGUUGGUGGGGUAGUGGCUUACCAAGGCUUUGACGGAUAGCCGGCCUGAGAGGGUGACCGGCCACAUUGGGACUGAGAUAUGGCCCAGACUCCUACGGGAGGCAGCAGUGGGGAAUAUUGCACAAUGGGCGGAAGCCUGAUGCAGCAACGCCGCGUGCGGGAUGACGGCCUUCGGGUUGUAAACCGCUUUCGCCUGUGACGAAGCGUGAGUGACGGUAAUGGGUAAAGAAGCACCGGCUAACUACGUG